CCCCAUCUCUGCCUCAGAGGGUGGGUCCCCUUGACUUUGACAACUUGAUCCCCUGGAAAUGUCCUACUUCCUGCUCCUCCCCAGGCCCUGCCUAGUGGGACCACGUCAUUCUCUAUUCUCAUGGACCUCUAUACCCCUCCUCUCUGAGUUCAGGUAUUCUGGUACCUGCCCACAGCAGGGAGAACAACAGACCACAUGUCCAGUCCUUGCCCAGCCCAGAUUAUGCUAUAAAGACGUUUUUUGAAAGAGAAAGAAAGAGGUGACAUUCUGUGGAGGGAUCUUAAGGGACCAGGUAUCCAGCCUCCCCAGUCUGUAGCCCCAGGUCCCCACACUGGUGUUUUUCUUCAGGUUGAGGACCUAUUCUUGGAGACCCAAGCUCCCAGCACUCCAGCCACAGACCUUCACCUUGAGACUUCCUUCUCAAGACCCUCAGGUUUUUUCUUCCCUUUUAGGCCUAAUCACAUCGGGGACUCGAGGCCUCACUUCCAGGCUUGGCAGGCAGAGUAUCUCAAGAUGAAGAGAAAGACAUUUUCCCUUGCAUGCUGGCCGCUGUUUCAUCUUCUACUACUCUUAGGAAACGCUGUAACUUCUAAUGCUAACACUACAGCCACCACCCUUGGACAAACCACAUCACCCAGGGGAACUAACACAACAGCUAUAACCUCCAGUGGGAACAUCACGACCACCUCCCUCGGACCAACCACACCAUCCAGGGGAACUAACACAACAGCUAUAACCUCCAGUGGGAACAUCACGACCACCUCCCUCGGACCAACCACACCGUCCAGGGAAACUAACACAACGGCUAUAACCUCCAGUGACACCAGCACAAGUACUGCCCCUCCAAGGAAAGAGGAGAACCUUAGCGGACAACUGACACCAUGGGAAGUUGUUCUGGUCACUCUGGCCUCGGUUGCAAUGGCUGUGAUUCUCGUCACCGGGCUUCUCUUCCAUUUCGUGAGUGCCUGAUUAUAGGGAACCCUUUUUCUAAAGGAAAGAGAGGAGGGAGGUAAAGAAGGAGCUGGAGUAGAGAGAGCAGGGUCACUGUGGGAGUAACAGGGAUGAGAAAUCAGAAAAAGACACAGAGAAAGCAGGUCAGAGCCAGCAAGCCAGAAGGUCAAAAAGCCAAAACAUAUUCAGAGAAAACUGAUGAGGGGACGUUCCGGGGGGGAGGUCGGGGGGAGGCAAAGGAAGUGAUGAGGACGGAAGAGCUGGCAAGAAGGGGACUCCUGGGACUGGAGAGCCACUGGAAGAGGGGGCAAAACUCCGAAAACUAUUCAGCCUUUUGUUUUCUAGAGAAACUCUCCAGGCCUCAGAAACCUCUUCGAUGUUAAUCUCUUACCAACUGCAUGGCCAAGCCCCUACGGGACCAGGGCAACUGCAACUGACUUCAGAGGAGACCCUUCUCCCGUAGUCAUGGAGCUGACUGGGAGGCGGGAAUAGCACUGAGCUCCCUGAAGGCAGACGCAUCACCAAUGUGUGGGGGUAGGGG
RNAcentral lists this long non-coding RNA (1492 nucleotides) under Sus scrofa (pig). RNAcentral describes it as "lncRNA (ENSSSCG00005031271.1)". The record is from RNAcentral. Lineage: Eukaryota; Metazoa; Chordata; Mammalia; Artiodactyla; Suidae.